This 839-nucleotide ribosomal RNA is filed under the name uncultured bacterium. RNAcentral describes it as "bacterial SSU rRNA". It matches the Rfam family "Bacterial small subunit ribosomal RNA", at positions 537 to 1373 of the family's 1533-position model. The record is from RNAcentral.
AGCGUUAUCGGAAUUACUGGGCGUAAAGCGUGCCCUGGUGGUUUGUUAAGUCAGAUGUGAAAGCCCCGAGUUUAACUUGGGAACUGCGUUUGAAACUGGCAAGUUAGAGUCUGUCAGAGGGGGGUAGAAUUCCACGUGUAGUCACUGAAAUGCGUAGAGAUGUGGAGGAAUACCAAUGGUGAAGGCAGCCCCCUGGGAUAAGACUGACGCUCAUGCACGAAAGCGUGGGGAGCAAACAGGAUUAGAUACCCUGGGUAGUCCACGCCCUAAACGAUGUCAACUGGUUGUUGGGCAACUUGAUUGUUCAGUAACGAAGCUAACGCGAGAAGUUGACCGCCUGGGGAGUACGGUCGCAAGAUUAAAACUCAAAGGAAUUGACGGGGACCCGCACAAGCGGUGGAUGAUGUGGAUUAAUUCGAUGCAACGCGAAAAACCUUACCUACCCUUGACAUGUACGGAAGUCUGCUGAGAGGUGGAUGUGCCUGAAAGGGAACCGUAACACAGGUGCUGCAUGGCUGUCGUCAGCUCGUGUCGUGAGAUGUUGGGUUAAGUCCCGCAACGAGCGCAACCCUUGCUAUUAAUUGCCAUCAUUAAGUUGGGCACUUUAAUAGGACUGCUGGUGAUAAACCGGAGGAAGGUGGGGAUGACGUCAAGUCCUCAUGGCCCUUAUGGGUAGGGCUUCACACGUCAUACAAUGGCCGGUACAGAGGGAUGCCAACCCGCGAGGGGGAGCCAAUCUCAGAAAGCCGGUCGUAGUCCGAGAUUGUUCUCUGCAACUCGAGAGCAUGAAGUCGGAAUCGCUAGUAAUCGCGGAUCAGCAUGUCGCGGUGAAUACGUUC